CGGGACGGGUGAGUAACGCGUGGAAAACCUGCCGUAUACUGGGGGAUAACACUUAGAAAUAGGUGCUAAUACCGCAUAAGCGCACAGCUUCGCAUGAAGCGGUGUGAAAAACUCUGGUGGUAUACGAUGGUUCCGCAUCUGAUUAGCUAGUUGGUGGGGUAAUGGCCUACCAAGGCAACGAUCAGUAGCCGGCCUGAGAGGGUGAACGGCCACAUUGGGACUGAGACACGGCCCAAACUCCUACGGGAGGCAGCAG
RNAcentral lists this ribosomal RNA (256 nucleotides) under uncultured bacterium. RNAcentral's name for it is "partial 16S ribosomal RNA". It matches the Rfam family "Bacterial small subunit ribosomal RNA", at positions 98 to 354 of the family's 1533-position model. The record is from RNAcentral.